RNAcentral lists this non-coding RNA (956 nucleotides) under Moschus berezovskii (Chinese forest musk deer). Its description in RNAcentral is "12S ribosomal RNA". It matches the Rfam family "Bacterial small subunit ribosomal RNA". Lineage: Eukaryota; Metazoa; Chordata; Mammalia; Artiodactyla; Moschidae. The record is from RNAcentral.
CAUAGGUUUGGUCCCAGCCUUCCUAUUGAUUCUUAAUAAACUUACACAUGCAAGCAUCCACACCCCGGUGAAAAUGCCCUCCGAGUCUAACAGAACCAAGAGGAGCAGGUAUCAAGCACACACCUUGUAGCUCACAACACCUUGCUUAACCACACCCCCACGGGAAACAGCAGUGAUAGAAAUUAAGCCAUAAACGAAAGUUCGACUAAGUUAUAUUAACUAGGGUUGGUAAAUCUCGUGCCAGCCACCGCGGUCAUACGAUUAACCCAAAUUAAUAGGAACACGGCGUAAAGCGUGUUAAAGCCUUCAAUCAAAUAGAGUUAAAUUUUAAUUAAACCGUAAAAAGUCAUAAUUAUAAUAAAAAUAAAUGACGAAAGUAACUCUACAACCGCUGACACACUAUAGCUAAGACCCAAACUGGGAUUAGAUACCCCACUAUGCUUAGCCCUAAACACAAAUAAUUAUAUAACAAAAUUAUUCGCCAGAGUACUACCAGCGACAGCUUAAAACUCAAAGGACUUGGCGGUGCUUCACACCCUUCUAGAGGAGCCUGUUCUAUAAUCGAUAAACCCCGAUAAACCUCACCAAUCCUUGCUAAUACAGUCUAUAUACCGCCAUCUUCAGCAAACCCUAAAAAGGAACAAAAGUAAGCACAAUCAUAAUACACAAAAACGUUAGGUCAAGGUGUAACCUAUGGAAUGGAAAGAAAUGGGCUACAUUUUCUAUCUCAAGAAAAUCCCAUACGAAAGUUAUUAUGAAACUAAUAACCAAAGGAGGAUUUAGUAGUAAACUAAGAAUAGAGUGCUUAGUUGAAUUAGGCCAUGAAGCACGCACACACCGCCCGUCACCCUCCUCAAAUAAAUAUAAUGUACUAAAAUAUAUUUACACACAUUAACCACAUGAGAGGAGACAAGUCGUAACAAGGUAAGCAUACUGGAAAGUGUGCUUGGAUAAAU